Molecule: long non-coding RNA, 775 nt
Organism: Penaeus monodon (black tiger shrimp)
Lineage: Eukaryota; Metazoa; Arthropoda; Malacostraca; Decapoda; Penaeidae
Exons: 3
Source: RefSeq, a predicted model, not a curated record
CGAGAAGCGAGCGCGGAAUAAAGAACACUAGUAUUCUGACGGAAUAGGAAGUGGAAAAAUUAAAUAAUAGCAGAUUAUGUGCACGAUGCAGUGUGGGAACGCGAGGAAACACUUGCUGAACCUUGCAGUUGUGUUGUCAUGCAUGAUGAUGACUACAAUUAUUCUUGUUUGCAUGGAUUACAGCCUGAUGUACAACCCGUGUGUGAUGUUUCUUAUGGCUGCAGCGACAGUGGCUGUUCUCUACAUAAUGAUGUCAGUAACUGAGUACAAGAUGUUCAAACAAGAGCGAGCUUUGCAUUCUGCAUCAGAGCUGCUUCCUGAAGAAGGUUUCUCUCCUGCUAAGAAACAGCUAAUCUGACUUAGAAGUUUGAUAAUCCUCUUCGCUAAAAGAGAGCCUCAUCGGGAAGGUCCUUGCACUAGUGGCUGGAGGUCCUAGACAUCGGGUACUGGGUGUUCUGAAGAGAUCAUUCUGAUUUACUGUGAGCCUUAAAUUGCUUAAAACAUUUUAUUAUGGUCUGUUCUUGGGGUUCGUUAUUGUAUUGUGGUGUGCUCUAAAUGCCAGACACUUAAUAUCAAAUGUUUUCUGAUAUGUUUUAAAGUAAUCCCAAGAUAAUGAAACAAGCGUUUGAACAACGGCCCAUUCCCUAGUCCGCUCCGAAUCCCUUCAUGUAUUUCUGACGAAGAUACAGUCGAAACCGCGCGUGUGUGUGUGUGUAUGUGUGUGUGUGUAUUUGUGUGUGUGUGUGUGUGUGUGUGUGUGUGUGUGUGUGUGUGU